AUUGAACGCUGGCGGCAGGCCUAACACAUGCAAGUCGAGCGGAGCGGCGGACGGGUGAGUAAUGCCUAGGAAUCUGCCUGGUAGUGGGGGAUAGCGUCCGGAAACGGGCGCUAAUCCCUCAUACUUUCCAAUGAGCCUAGGUCGGAUUAGCUAGUUGGUGGGGUAAAGGCCUACCCAGGCGACGAUCCGUCACUGGUCUGAGAGGAUGAUCAGUCACACUGGAACGGAGACACGGGCCAGACUCCUACGGGAGGCAGCAGUGGGGAAUAUUGGACAAUGGGCGCAAGCCUGAUGCAGCCAUGCCGCGUGUAUGAAGAAGGCCUUCGGGUUGUAAAGUACUUUCAGCGGGGAGGCGUUACCCGCAGAAGAAGCACCGGCUAACUCCGUGCCAGCAGCCGCGGUAAUAC
RNAcentral lists this ribosomal RNA (407 nucleotides) under uncultured bacterium. RNAcentral describes it as "partial 16S ribosomal RNA". It matches the Rfam family "Bacterial small subunit ribosomal RNA", at positions 30 to 526 of the family's 1533-position model. The record is from RNAcentral.